This 668-nucleotide long non-coding RNA is filed under the name Erythranthe guttata (spotted monkey flower). Its description in RNAcentral is "long non-coding RNA (EGUT_LNC000859)". Lineage: Eukaryota; Viridiplantae; Streptophyta; Magnoliopsida; Lamiales; Phrymaceae. The record is from RNAcentral.
CCGAUUCUGCCAUGUAAAUUUCAGAUUUUGGAACUAAGUUUUUUAAUUCCAAUUUCCGAAAUUCUGAUUUUUUUUUUUCAGAACGCAAUUGGUAUUGGUUUUCGUCUUCCGAUUUUUUUUUUUUGGAAUUUUCCCUAAAGCGCUACUUCCAGUCCAUCCGGUCUGAAUGGAGUAGUACACUUUCUUUUUUUUCAAUUUCAAUUUAAAAUUUUAUUUUCAUAGUAUGAAUGAAUAAUGUGUUACUCAACAAAUGAAGGUAAAACAUCGAGCGGUAGAACUUUCAAAAGCAAUGGAAAACGAAGACGGUGUAACGGGUGCAGUGCAAGCUUUCUAUAAACAUUUCCCGCUCAAAAGCCUAAAACCCGAGCCUGAAAAUUCACAUUCUUCGUCGAGUUUUUUUUCUUUCAGACACUGCUUUGGUUGUUCGAAAUCUUGACUUUUUCUUGUUGCUGAUUUUUCACUUUUGACAAUUUCUUACGAAUUGUUCGUUUCCGAUCGACUUGUGAAUGUAUAUAUAUGUAUGUAUGUAUAUUGUAUACAAGCUUUCUUGUAGUAGCUUCUUACCGAGAAUGUUUUGCCACUUUCCCCCCCUUCUUUUUUGCUAACAAAAUCAGAGAACUUAAUGGUGAUGAUUACCAGUGACGGGGUCAACAUAGGGCCGGGACCAG